RNAcentral lists this ribosomal RNA (1126 nucleotides) under uncultured organism. Its description in RNAcentral is "bacterial SSU rRNA". It matches the Rfam family "Bacterial small subunit ribosomal RNA", at positions 41 to 1200 of the family's 1533-position model. The record is from RNAcentral.
GGCGCGCUUAACGCAUGCAAGUCGAGCGAUGAGGCUCCCUUCGGGGAGUACAUCAGCGGCAGACGGGUGAGUAACACGUAGAUAACCUGCCCUCAAGACGGGGACAACCGGUGGAAACAGCGGCUAAUACCCGAUAUGCUCACAGGAUCGGGAGGUCGAGUGAGGAAAGGCUUCGGUGCUUGAGGAGGGAUCUGCGGCCCAUCAGCUAGUUGGUGAGGUAACGGCUCACCAAGGCGAAGACGGGUAGGGGGUGUGAGAGCAUGGCCCCCCACAAUGGGACUGAGACACGGCCCAUACUCCUACGGGAGGCAGCAGCGGGGAAUAUUGCGCAAUGGACGGAAGUCAGACGCAGCGACGCCGCGUGGGUGAGGAAGGCCUUCGGGUUGUAAAGCCCUUUUCAGGGGAGCGAGAAAGGACGGUACCCUUGGAAUAAGCGUCGGCUAACUACGUGCCAGCAGCCGCGGUAAGACGUAGGACGCAAGCGUUAUCCGGAUUUACUGGGCGUAAAGCGCCUGUAGGCGGUCAAGUAAGUCGGAUGUGAAAGCCCCGUGCUCAACGCGGGGAAGCCAUUCGAUACUGCGUGACUAGAGAACGGCAGAGGGAAACGGAAUUUCUGGUGUAGCGGUAAAAUGCGCAGAGAUCAGAAAGAACACCGAUGGCGAAGGCAGUUUCCUAGGCCGCAUCUGACGCUGAGAGGCGAAAGCUAGGGGAGCAAACAGGAUUAGAGACCCUGGUAGUCCUAGCUGUAAACGAUGGAUGCUAGGUGUGGGCCGGAAAGGUCCGUGCCGUAGUUAACGCGAUAAGCAUCCCGCCUGGGGAGUACGGCCGCAAGGCUAAAACUCAAACGAAUUGACGGGGACCCGCACAAGCAGCGGAGCGUGUGGUUUAAUUCGAUGCUACACGCAGAACCUUACCUGGGCUUGACAUGUAGGUGGUAGUGAAGUGAAAGCGGAGCGACCCUUCGGGGAGCCUACACAGGUGCUGCAUGGCUGUCGUCAGCUCGUGCCGUGAGGUGUCGGGUUAAGUCCCGUAACGAGCGCAACCCUUGUCCUUAGUUACAAGUGUCUAAGGAGACUGCCGGUGACAAACCGGAGGAAGGUGGGGAUGACGUCAAGUCAGCAUGGCC